CCUACGGGGAGCUGCAGUGGGGAAUAUUGCACAAUGGGGGAAACCCUGAUGCAGCGACGCCGCGUGAGUGAAGAAGUAAUUCGUUAUGGAAAGCUCUAUCAGCAGGGAAGAAAAUGACGGUACCUGAGUAAGAAGCCCCGGCUAACUACGUGCCAGCAGCCGCGGUAAGACGGAGGGGGCAAGCGUUAUCCGGAUUUAAUGGGUGUAAAGGGAGCGGAGACGGCAGUGCAAGUCUGGAGUGAAAGGCGGGGGCGCAACCCCCGGACUGCUCUGGAAACUGUACGGAUGGAGUGCAGGAGGGGUAAGUGGAAAUGCUAGUGUAGCGGUGAAAUGCGUAGAUAUUAGGAGGAACACCAGUGGCGAAGGCAGCUUACUGGACUGUAACUGACGUUGAGGCUCGAAAGCGUGGGGAGCAAACAGGAUUAGAUACCCGAGUAGUC
This 440-nucleotide ribosomal RNA is filed under the name uncultured bacterium. RNAcentral describes it as "partial 16S ribosomal RNA". It matches the Rfam family "Bacterial small subunit ribosomal RNA", at positions 338 to 795 of the family's 1533-position model. The record is from RNAcentral.